AGGUUAAGUUAUUAAGGGCGCACGGCGAAUGCCUUGGCACUAGGAGCCGAAGAAGGACGGCACUAACACCGAUAUGCUUCGGGGAGCUGUAAGUGAGCUUUGAUCCGGAGAU
Molecule: ribosomal RNA, 112 nt
Filed under: Lysinibacillus fusiformis
Lineage: Bacteria; Bacillati; Bacillota; Bacilli; Caryophanales; Bacillaceae
Description: partial 23S ribosomal RNA
Rfam family: Bacterial large subunit ribosomal RNA
Source: RNAcentral